This 433-nucleotide ribosomal RNA is filed under the name uncultured bacterium. RNAcentral's name for it is "partial 16S ribosomal RNA". It matches the Rfam family "Bacterial small subunit ribosomal RNA", at positions 29 to 507 of the family's 1533-position model. The record is from RNAcentral.
AACGAACGCUGGCGGCAUGCCUAACACAUGCAAGUCGAACGAACCCUUCGGGGUUAGUGGCGCACGGGUGCGUAACGCGUGGGAAUCUGCCCUUUGCUUCGGAAUAACUCAGGGAAACUUGUGCUAAUACCGGAUGAUGUCUUCGGACCAAAGAUUUAUCGGCAAGGGAUGAGCCCGCGUAGGAUUAGGUAGUUGGUGGGGUAAAGGCCUACCAAGCCGACGAUCCUUAGCUGGUCUGAGAGGAUGAUCAGCCACACUGGGACUGAGACACGGCCCAGACUCCUACGGGAAGCAGCAGUGGGGAAUAUUGGACAAUGGGCGCAAGCCUGAUCCAGCAAUGCCGCGUGAGUGAUGAAGGCCAUCGGGUCGUAAAGCUCUUUUACCAGGGAUGAUAAUGACAGUACCUGGAGAAUAAGCUCCGGCUAACUCCGUG